AGCGAACGCUGGCGGCAGGCCUAACACAUGCAAGUCGAACGAACCUUUCGGGGUUAGUGGCGGACGGGUGAGUAACACGUGGGAACGUGCCUUUAGGUUCGGAAUAACUCAGGGAAACUUGUGCUAAUACCGAAUGUGCCCUUCGGGGGAAAGAUUUAUCGCCUUUAGAGCGGCCCGCGUCUGAUUAGCUAGUUGGUUGAGGUAAUGGCUCACCAAGGCGACGAUCAGUAGCUGGUCUGAGAGGAUGAUCAGCCGCAUUGGGACUGAGACACGGCCCAAACUCCUACGGGAGGCAGCAGUGGGGAAUCUUGCGCAAUGGGCGAAAGCCUGACGCAGCCAUGCCGCGUGAAUGAUGAAGGUCUUAGGAUUGUAAAAUUCUUUCACCGGGGACGAUAAUGACGGUACCCGGAGAAGAAGCCCCGGCUAACUUCGUG
This 434-nucleotide ribosomal RNA is filed under the name uncultured bacterium. RNAcentral's name for it is "partial 16S ribosomal RNA". It matches the Rfam family "Bacterial small subunit ribosomal RNA", at positions 29 to 507 of the family's 1533-position model. The record is from RNAcentral.